CUAUGGGAGGCAGCAGUGGGGAAUAUUGCACAAUGGAGGAAACUCUGAUGCAGCAACGCCGCGUGGAGGAUGACACUUUUCGGAGCGUAAACUCCUUUUAUAUAGGAAGAAGAUGACGGUACUAUAUGAAUAAGCGCCGGCUAACUCCGUGCCAACUGCCGCGGUAAUACGGAGGGCGCAAGCGUUACUCGGAAUCACUGGGCGUAAAGAGCGUGUAGGCGGAUUAAAAAGUCAGAAGUGAAAUCCUAUAGCUUAACUAUAGAACUGCUUCUGAAACUCUUAAUCUAGAAUAUGGGAGAGGUAGAUGGAAUUUCUGGUGUAGGGGUAAAAUCCGUAGAGAUCAGAAGGAAUACCGAUUGCGAAGGCGAUCUACUAGAACAUUAUUGACGCUGAGACGCGAAAGCGUGGGGAGCAAACAGGAUUAGAUACCCGCGUAGUC
RNAcentral lists this ribosomal RNA (439 nucleotides) under uncultured bacterium. RNAcentral describes it as "partial 16S ribosomal RNA". It matches the Rfam family "Bacterial small subunit ribosomal RNA", at positions 339 to 795 of the family's 1533-position model. The record is from RNAcentral.